Molecule: ribosomal RNA, 425 nt
Filed under: uncultured Allobaculum sp.
Lineage: Bacteria; Bacillati; Bacillota; Erysipelotrichia; Erysipelotrichales; Erysipelotrichaceae
Description: bacterial SSU rRNA
Rfam family: Bacterial small subunit ribosomal RNA
Source: RNAcentral
UAGGGAAUUUUCGUCAAUGGGGGCAACCCUGAACGAGCAAUGCCGCGUGAGCGAAGAAGGUCUUCGGAUUGUAAAGCUCUGUUGCCGGGGAAAAAGGAAGGAAAGAGGAAAUGCUUUUCUUUGGACGGUACCCGGCCAGAAAGUCACGGCUAACUACGUGCCAGCAGCCGCGGUAAUACGUAGGUGGCAAGCGUUAUCCGGAAUGAUUGGGCGUAAAGGGUGAGCAGGCGGUUCUUCAAGUCAUGAGUGAAAGGCAGAAGCUUAACUUCUGUUGGCUGAUGAGACUGGAGAACUUGAGUACAGGAGAGGGCGGCGGAACUCCAUGUGUAGCGGUAAAAUGCGUAGAGAUAUGGAAGAACACCAGUGGCGAAGGCGGCCGCCUGGACUGAAACUGACGCUCAGGCACGAAAGCGUGGGGAGCAAAU